UUUUUUUUUUUUUUUUUUUUUUUGUCUUUUGUCUUUUUGUUGUUGCUAUUUCUUGGGCCGCUCCCGUGGCAUAUGGAGGUUCCCAGGCUAGGGGUCGAAUCGGAGCUGUAGCCACCAGCCUACGCCAGAGCCACAGCAACGCGGGAUCCGAGCCGCGUCUGCAACCUACACCAUAGCUCACAGCAACGCCGGAUCGUUAACCCACUGAGCAAGGGCAGGGACGAACCCGCAACCUCAUGGUUCCUAGUCAGAUUCGUUAACCACUGCGCCACGACGGGAACUCCUGAUUUAAAUUGUUUCUUGUUCUUAUUUUUAUUCUCCUUAAUGGAGUCAUUGGGCAAAUAGUGUAGUGCUUUAUAGGUCUAAAAUUUUUUUUCACCUGUGUAUUCUUCCUCCAUUUUCUAUGCUUAAGAAGAGGGAUUUGUGGUAUGUUACCAGGAGAAGGGGGAUUACUAAAUGACAUUUUCAAUUGUAAGAGUUCUGUGUGAUUUAGAGACACUGAAUUUAGUGGUUUCAGUUUUAUUCUUUUUACAAGAAAGUGUCACUUUAUAUCAUGUGAAAAGUACCCUUUCUCAACUGGGACACAAAACAUGAAAAUACUUCUUUUAACCUUUCAAUACAUCUCCUAAGCUAAAUUCAAAAUACUUGUCUCUACUUUUCACACUGUACAGACUAUUUUUUCUGCAGUCUUCACCCCAGAUUAAUUGUAAUGUCUAAAAAUUUUUGAUUAUUCUAACAUUUAAUAGGUCUGUUUUGAUAUUUAUAUGUCAUGAUGACAUUCGACUUUGCAAAUUUAUCUUAAUUAGGAUAUGCAAAGCAUAUUAUUAUUUCCAAAUAAAAUAAAGUGUUUCUAAAAGUGUAUUGUAUUGAAAUAACAUUAGUUUAUAACAUUAUGUAAAUUUCAUAGUUUUUUUUUUUUUUUUUUUUUUUUAUCAGCAAGAUUCAUGGAGAGUUAAUGACCCAAGCACAUCCUGAAAAAUCACUAGGAUUACACUUGGGAUUGUAUUUACCUGCAGCCUCUUUUGAUAACAGAGGCUUAAUGCAAAUAGACAUUGAAAGUUAAUGUCGUCAUAUGGUGGAGUGAGGUAAUUUACUAAAAGCACCUAUAACUAUUUUCCAUAAAAACACGUGUGAAGCAUUUGCAGCCUUCACAUUACAGAAAAUUACUAAAAGCAAAGCUAAGAAUUUAGGCUGGUAUUAUAUUCUACACCAAUCUGUGUCUCACUUUCAUUGCUGUCUGCAGUUUUUUAAUCUAAAUGUCUUUCCCUUGUGUAGAAUUAGCCUUUUUUCAUAGACGAGCUGAAAUCUCUGAAACUGUCUGUCAUUAUUGUUUGCAAUUUGGAGCUAUUUUCCCGAAGGAUUGUAAUCAGUUUUCUUUUAAAGACUAAGUGAUAAGUUUGAAAGAAAGUGACGGGCAGAAAAUUAAAAAUAAAAUGAUUGUAAAAUGGAAAUAUAUAAAUUAGCUUGAAACAUUGUCUUAUCAUAUUUGGCCAAUUAGUCUGAUACAAGCUCUAAACCCAAGCGCUUAUAAAUGUCAAAUCUCUGUGAACCCAAAGUGGUUCAAUUUUAGCCCUUCUAUACACCUAUGAUUCGGAAAAAUAAAAGAAGACUCCUGGUGACAAACAUUCCGAAAUGACCUUAUUUACAGCUAAUCCAUAUUGGACAAAAACCACAUGGUUUUUAUUUUUUAUUUUUUUGUUAUGCUUGGCUCUAAAUGAACAGAUUUAGAGUAGCCAUAGAUUAAAUCUGAGUAGGCAAGGCAUAAGAAACAAGUUUUUUUUAAUGUUGAUACCUUUCUGUUUAGAGACAGGUAAUCUGAGAAAUAACCACACGUUUAAUAAAUAUUCUCUUCAAAAUUAUUAGAAUCACUUAGCAACUACAUAUGAUAAUAAAACACCCCACUAUCUCAUAUUCCAGUGCUUAAAUAAAAUAUUUUAUUGUCAUGUAGCUCAUACCUUCAUAUGUCUAUAGAUAGAAUUUCUGAGUCUUCAUUUACUCUUAUGUCCACAUAUAAACAUAUAGCCGUAUAUCAGGCAGUCAGUUUUGAAUAAAAUUAGUCUAUCCACAGAUCAUAACACUUACCCUUUUUGAGUUUCCUGCAUCACUGUAACUUUACUUUUGUCAAACUCUUCCAUGUCUGAGUCAUUGCUUAAGAGAAUGUAUUUUUCCUGCUUAUCCACUUCCAUCAUUUUCAUUUCUGAAAGUCUUGAUUCAAUAAUCUCUGAAAGUUCACAUAAAUCUUCAGGUGGUUUUAAACAGAUGCCUAUUUAUAUCUUAUAGCAACAUAUAGGAAACAACUUCAGGGCAGAAGGCUUAUUAGUCUGAAUUCUCCAAUUCAGCAUUAAGUCCUAAACCCAAGUGGCUGAUGGGGAUUUUCUGGCCAAUCUCCUCCCAAAGCUGUCAUGGCAGGUAAGAUUUCAGUGCCACCUUCACAGGACUGGAUGUGGGGAGGCAGGAGGAGGGAGCAAAUCUGGCUACAAAAAGGAUUCCUAUGUAGGGAGGGGACAGGAAAUCCAAUACCUAUGAAUAGCCAGCAACUUCUUUGGUGAAUUUUCACCUACAUAUUUCUCUCAUCUGAAACUGCUAUUUUUUAAAAGUCAAAAAGAAGAAUUUUUAAAAGGAGGGAAAACCACAGUGGCAUCUUGAGGUUACAUACCCUGUGAGACACAGAUACAACACUGAACAGCAUUCAUGAGCCAGCUUUUCUUCUCUCUACCUCAGGUAAUUCUAAUCUUCCAGCUCUGGGAUAAUUUUUAUUUAACUUGGAACACAAAUUAUUUCAGAUAAUAUUUUAAAAAUAUUUCUUCUGAUAUGUAACCCUUGCAAUAAAGGAUUAAUACAUAUAUGUUGGAAAUAAAUAAAGCUUGUUACUCAGAUGAUUAUUGACAAGGGGUAGAAAAUUAAUAGAUUUCUCCUAUGGACACAAUUUUCUUCGUGACCUAUUGGUUCUGUUUAUUUUAUUGAGGUGGUUACCUACAUGUGCAGCUGUUGUCUCUUAGAGAAAUGGGUCUCAGUCUUACUUGAACAUCAUACUCAUCUGUGGGAGUGUUUAAAAAAUACCAAUGGCGGGGCCCCAAACCAAUUAAAUUAAAUCAGAAUCUUUGAGAGUAAAAUUUAUUUAAAAAAAACCCUCUAAGUAAUUCUAAGAUCCAGCUCAUAUUAAAAAAAAAUACUGACUGGAGUUCCCAUCGCGGCUCAACAGUUAGCAAACCCAAUGAGAUCCGUGAGGAUGUGGGUUCAAUCCCUGGCCUUGCUCAGUGGUUUCUCAGAUCUGGCAUUGCUGUGACUGUGGUGUAGGCUGGCAACUAUAGCUCUGAUUGGACCCCUAGC
Molecule: long non-coding RNA, 3330 nt
Filed under: Sus scrofa (pig)
Lineage: Eukaryota; Metazoa; Chordata; Mammalia; Artiodactyla; Suidae
Description: lncRNA (ENSSSCG00000058687.1)
Source: RNAcentral